UGUGCUGUAGCUCAGUGGUAGAAUGCCUGCCUAGCAUGUGUGAGGCACUGAGUUCAAUCCUCAGCACCACAU
RNAcentral lists this transfer RNA (72 nucleotides) under Marmota marmota marmota (Alpine marmot). It matches the Rfam family "tRNA". Rfam says of the family: Transfer RNA (tRNA) molecules are approximately 80 nucleotides in length. Their secondary structure includes four short double-helical elements and three loops (D, anti-codon, and T loops). The record is from Rfam by way of RNAcentral. Lineage: Eukaryota; Metazoa; Chordata; Mammalia; Rodentia; Sciuridae. RNAcentral also lists the same sequence under 1 other name.